Non-coding RNA from Canis lupus familiaris (dog), 105 nucleotides. The record is from Rfam. NCBI's taxonomy places the organism in Eukaryota, Metazoa, Chordata, Mammalia, Carnivora, Canidae.
AGGAGGAACAGUCGCAGUGGCGGGGCCAGCUCUGCAGCGCUGGAGUCAGCUCCCGCAGUAACUCCGGAGCUCUCCGUCUGCAGGGCCUGGAGGCUCCGGGGCGGG